CUAGACCUGACCCCUCCAGCUAAAUCCAGGUGAUGGUGAUUUUGUCUCAGCAAUGAGGAAAAUAACUAAGACAACAACCAACACAGAAAGUACUGGAAUCUGGUAGAGCACUCUUCUUGCCUCCACCUUUAACACUGAAACUGCCUCCUAGGGACUUUGACAAGUUUGACAAGUGGCAAAACAAUUCAGAAGUUUCUUUGCUGGCUGAUGAUAGGGCACAAACAUGCUGCUGGGAUUCCUGGGACACAGGACUUCUUGUGCUAAAACUGGGAAUGUUCCAGGCAGAAGAGGACAAGUUUGUCACCUUAGUAGGCCCUGUGCCCUCUCCCCAGGGGCCUUUCCAAACAAAUAACAAAUCAUGAUUGAAUGAAUUGAAAUUAAAAUUUUACUAAUCUGCUAUGUGAGAUUGGAGGUUAGAAAGA
Heterocephalus glaber (naked mole-rat) is the source of this 422-nucleotide long non-coding RNA. NCBI's taxonomy places the organism in Eukaryota, Metazoa, Chordata, Mammalia, Rodentia, Bathyergidae. The record is from Ensembl.